RNAcentral lists this long non-coding RNA (634 nucleotides) under Androctonus crassicauda. The record is from RNAcentral. Lineage: Eukaryota; Metazoa; Arthropoda; Arachnida; Scorpiones; Buthidae.
AUAAAAACAGUAAUACACAAACACAAGACAAAAGAAGAAAACCCACCACCAAUUUAGAGAGAGAGAGAAAGAAGGAGCAGAAGCCUACCUAAUGAUUCCAGAAACUUUAAAGAAUUAUAGAAUAGUUAGAUCUCUCGCCAAAAAAAGAAAACAGAAACCAGCAUACAAAAGACCACCAACUAUCUUUGAUUUGUUUAGGAAUAUAAAAGACCCCCACAGGGAAGAUGAAAAAAGUGGAGUAUAUGAAAUCCCCAUAGACAACCUAGACACCAGAACAUGAGAAAUUUAUAUAGGUGCGACCACAAGGAACCUUAGGGACAGAGUAGUUGACUGUAAAAGAAAUAUUGAAACAGCCACCCUAAUCAUGGUGCUAUCAAAUAAAGCAUAUGAAAGCAAUGAAAACGUAAAUUGGAAGGAAGCAAAAGUAAUUAAACAGAUAAACAACCCAGUGGAACUCGCAGUGGCAGAAAACCUAGAAAUAUUCAAAGACAGAGCAGGGGUAAAUAUUAUAAAUGACAAACAAGUUGAAGAACUCCUAAAACCUUGGGAAUAUUUAUUAAAACAAUAACAUUUCUGACCAAAAAGCGGACUUGAACUUACUCCAAAAUGUUAAUGAAAAAGAGACAAUACCACG